GAUGAACGCUGGCGGCGUGCCUAAUACAUGCAAGUCGAGCGGUAACACUUCGGGUGACGAGCGGCGGACGGCUGAGUAACGCGUAGGAACAUGCCCCAAAGUGAGGGAUAAGCACCGGAAACGGUGUCUAAUACCGCAUAUGGUCUAAGGAUUAAAGUCUUCGGACGCUUUGGGAUUGGCCUGCGUAUGAUUAGUUAGUUGGUAAGGUAACGGCUUACCAAGACCACGAUCAUUAGCUGGUUUGAGAGGAUGAUCAGCCAGACUGGGACUGAGACACGGCCCAGACUUCUACGGAAGGCAGCAGUAGGGAAUUUUCCACAAUGGACGAAAGUCUGAUGGAGCAACGCCGCGUGCAGGAUGACGGCCUUCGGGUUGUAAACUGCUUUUAUGGUGAUGAAUUUGACAGUAACCCCAA
Molecule: ribosomal RNA, 415 nt
Filed under: uncultured bacterium
Lineage: Bacteria
Description: bacterial SSU rRNA
Rfam family: Bacterial small subunit ribosomal RNA
Source: RNAcentral